This 495-nucleotide ribosomal RNA is filed under the name uncultured bacterium. RNAcentral describes it as "bacterial SSU rRNA". It matches the Rfam family "Bacterial small subunit ribosomal RNA", at positions 24 to 507 of the family's 1533-position model. The record is from RNAcentral.
UCAGGAUGAACGCUAGCUACAGGCUUAACACAUGCAAGUCGAGGGGCAGCAUGUCGGUUGCUUGCAACCGAUGAUGGCGACCGGCGCACGGGUGAGUAACGCGUAUCCAACCUACCCUUGUCCAUCGGAUAACCCGUCGAAAGGCGGCCUAACACGAUAUCGGGGGGUUCACAGCAGGCAUCUAAGGUGAACGAAAUGUGAAGGAGAAGGAUGGGGAUGCGUCUGAUUAGCUUGUUGGCGGGGUAACGGCCCACCAAGGCGACGAUCAGUAGGGGUUCUGAGAGGAAGGUCCCCCACAUUGGAACUGAGACACGGUCCAAACUCCUACGGGAGGCAGCAGUGAGGAAUAUUGGUCAAUGGACGGGAGUCUGAACCAGCCAAGUAGCGUGCAGGACGACGGCCCUAUGGGUUGUAAACUGCUUUUAUAGGGGGAUAAAGUGUGCCACGUGUGGCAUAUUGCAGGUACCCUAUGAAUAAGGACCGGCUAAUUCCGUG